Molecule: long non-coding RNA, 1253 nt
Filed under: Vigna radiata
Lineage: Eukaryota; Viridiplantae; Streptophyta; Magnoliopsida; Fabales; Fabaceae
Description: long non-coding RNA (VRAD_LNC014004)
Source: RNAcentral
AGCAAACAAAGCAAGGGUAAGCUAGAUUUCAAAAAUAAUACAAGUGAUAUAAGAGCUACUAAAAUAAAAAGAAACAUACAAGCAAUACAAUCACAGAAGUACAAUUUUACUGAGUUAUAAAUUAGAGUUGUAUUAAGUGGUGUUAGACUUAGACUCGUCCGGACUUGGAAUGAAUAUCGAGCUAUGACGGGUUAUGCACUUGUGGUGGCCUCUACUGCUUUGCAAAGCCAUUGGCAAUGGGUUUCACCCUACCACACACAAGGUUAGUCCGUUAUCACUCACCUUGGCCCAUAUACAAUGGAGACAACCAAGACUAGGACCCCCUACUACUCUUCACCACAUGAACUAAUCUUCUCUAAGUGAGAUUGAAUAGUCAUUAGAGCAUUAAGGGCAACCCCCAAAACUGAGCUACCUAUAUUCAUUCCAGAACUUAACUUGAAUCACUCAUUCUUGGCCCAUAUAAAAUGGAGACACCCAAGAUUGAGCUUCCUAUAUUCAUUCUCAUAACUUAAUUUGAUCUCACCUAGAGAUGUACUUAAAUCACAUUACAUUCCACACUAACUUUACUUACUUUCAUACUUUUGAUUUCAUACCAUGAAUGUUUUAUAUUAGUUUAGUUUCUUACAGAAUUAAGCAUGAAUCAAUCUCAUAAUACUGGAAGUAAUCAUACCAAAUAAACAAGAAAAGAUACCUAGAUCAUCACACAAAAAAGGAAGAGAAAAAAAGAAUUACAUAUUUUCAGAAAAACAUCACUUAUUAAUACAAAUAUCCUUAUAACCUUAAAUUACCAAUACUUAGGUAAUUCAAAUAGCUUGGAAACCAUCACCAAUGGCUUCGGAAGGGUCAAAAACCCCCAGAACGACCUAAAGAACGUCCAAAACGGACGUUCGAAACCCCUUAAACUAUCAAAAAUAAAAAGCAACAGCAGAAAAGGGCGCCCAACGCCCUUUAGGGGCGCCCGGGCGCCAUAUUUCUGGCAAAUGCCGAAUCAAAGGGCGCCCAGCGCCCUUCAGGGGCGCCCAGGCGUGAACUCUGCAGAUUUUUCUGCAGAAUUUGCAGUUUUGGAAGAACUCACACCCCUAAGUUUCGUUUUAGGCCUUUUGGUGAAAUUCUAACCUCCCUAACACGAAGUAUGGUUGAUUUUAAACUUGUUUGAGGGUUCAUACAUGAUCUUAACACUCAUCUCUAAUAAUUAGGCAGAGAAUUUGGAUCAAUUCACUCAAUUUCCAUUACUUAAGAGUUCAAAUUCACAU